GACGAACGCUGGCGGCGUGCUUAACACAUGCAAGUCGAACGGAAAGGCCCUGCUUUUGUGGGGUGCUCGAGUGGCGAACGGGUGAGUAACACGGGAGUAACCUGCCCUUGACUUUGGGAUAACUUCAGGAAACUGGGGCUAAUACCGUAUAGGAGCUCCUGCUGCAUGGUGGGGGUUGGAAAGUUUCGGCGGUUGGGGAUGGACUCGCGGCUUAUCAGCUUGUUGGUGGGGGAGUGGCUUACCAAGGCUUUGACGGGUAGCCGGCCUGAGAGGGUGACCGGCACCAUUGGGACGGGGAUAGGGCCCAGACUCCUCCGGGAGGAAGCAGUGGGGAAUAUUGCACAAUGGGCGGAAGCCUGAUGCAGCAAGGCCGCGUGCGGGAUGACGGCCUUCGGGUUGUAAACCGCUUUCGCCUGUGACGAAGCGUGAGUGACGGUAAUGGGUAAAGAAGCACCGGCUAACUACGUG
RNAcentral lists this ribosomal RNA (468 nucleotides) under uncultured bacterium. RNAcentral's name for it is "partial 16S ribosomal RNA". It matches the Rfam family "Bacterial small subunit ribosomal RNA", at positions 28 to 507 of the family's 1533-position model. The record is from RNAcentral.